Molecule: ribosomal RNA, 419 nt
Filed under: uncultured bacterium
Lineage: Bacteria
Description: bacterial SSU rRNA
Rfam family: Bacterial small subunit ribosomal RNA
Source: RNAcentral
UGGGGAAUAUUGGACAAUGGGGGCAACCCUGAUCCAGCCAUGCCGCGUGAGUGAAGAAGGCCCUCGGGUUGUAAAGCUCUUUUGUCCGGAAAGAAAAGCUUCGGGUUAAUACCCCGGGGUUCUGACGGUACCGGAAGAAUAAGCACCGGCUAACUUCGUGCCAGCAGCCGCGGUAAUACGAAGGGUGCAAGCGUUACUCGGAAUUACUGGGCGUAAAGCGUGCGUAGGUGGUUGUUUAAGUCUGAUGUGAAAGCCCUGGGCUCAACCUGGGAAUGGCAUUGGNAGCUGGGCAGCGAGAGUGCGGUAGAGUGAAGUGGAAUUCCCGGUGUAGCAGUAAAAUGCGUAGAGAUCGGGAGGAACAUCUGUGGCGAAGGCGACUGCCUGGACCAGCACUGACACUGAGGCACGAAAGCGUGGGG